Molecule: long non-coding RNA, 1108 nt
Organism: Scylla paramamosain (green mud crab)
Lineage: Eukaryota; Metazoa; Arthropoda; Malacostraca; Decapoda; Portunidae
Exons: 4
Source: RefSeq, a predicted model, not a curated record
UCAUGAUAGAUCUAGACAGUUCUACGUUAUUUCAUGGUUGACUGUGUACCUAGAACAAUUGCGUGACUAAGAAAAUAUGUUAACUGGUUGAUAUAAGUGAAUGAGCGAAGGUCAGGAAACAGUCACGUGAUGUCUCUGGUAAUUGUGACCUGCGCUCUGCCGGCUUCUCUUGUGUGGUGCAGCGGAGCCUGGUUAUAAGUAUAGAGGCUGAACCGUGUACCAAUCUGUAGACAUGUGAAGAAAUCAAAACAUUGACACGUUUAAAAACUGAGUCUCAAGUGAAUGGACAAUGAAGAAUGGAGUUCGACAAGGUCUGGAGCCGUGCACGCCGCGAGGACUGAUGAACAGAUACGUGUGGCUGUGUACGAGGCGUGAACGACGAUUAGCAGGCAGAUGCUUCCAGAACCACCACCAGCACCACCACCACCAGCAGCACCACCACCACCACCACCACCACCAGUGCGCGCUGUGAAGUUUCAGCGCCGCUCCUCGCUGUUCCUCCCACGGGCGUGAAUAAUAUUUUGAAUGUAUAACCAAGUAGUGAACUAAUCCCCGUGCAGGACACACAAACACGCCGCCACGCGGGAUGCCGCACCACGCAGAAUUAAUGGAAGCAUUUUUUCAGUGUCUCUUUUUCCCCGAUUCGCGACGCACCGGUACACAGGAUUGGUUGGUUCGCGGAUUCAUUGCUUGCACGCGAACGCUCAACUGCACCGACAUGAUUAUUUAUUGACGACAAAAUAAAAAAAAGAACUGGAUGUAACCUGUUAAUUACGAGAAUAAAAGGCCACAAUCAGACAGAUGCCGCAAACAAGUGGAGUAGAUCUGUACCUUGUCAACAGCAGCUGCAGCAAUAGGUAACCGUCAUUACCAGGCUCGCUGUGUCAAAGAGAGAGACAGCAAACAAAACAAGCCUUCCCUUUGUCUGUAUUGUGGACUUAUUGCCAACUGUUUGUCUCAUUAAUACUUACGGUUUCAUUACUGUCUCCUGAGCGUCUCUUCUGGAACCUGGGUCGAGCGCUCCUUAAAAUUUAGGGAGGAGAUGCUAGUGGUUGGGAGAGGAAUAGAGACAAGGUGGAAUGGAGAGCGGGAGAGGAGGAGGGAAGGG